AGUAGUUCUUCUUGACUUGUCCCCUCCAGGAUACAACAGCCUAAUCACAAUAUAUAACUCAACAACUCUGGACAAGAGUUGAGUCCAAAGCUCCACAAAAAAGAACACCUCCCUUCAACUAAUAAGAACUCUCUUUUUGACAAACUUUUUCCUCUCUAUCUUUUUCUUAUGUGUUGUAUAUCUCACAAACCAAAUGAAGACC
RNAcentral lists this long non-coding RNA (202 nucleotides) under Solanum tuberosum (potato). Its description in RNAcentral is "long non-coding RNA (STUB_LNC006870)". Lineage: Eukaryota; Viridiplantae; Streptophyta; Magnoliopsida; Solanales; Solanaceae. The record is from RNAcentral.